UACGUAGGGUGCGAGCGUUAAUCGGAAUUACUGGGCGUAAAGUGUGCGCAGGCGGUUAUGCAAGACAGAGGUGAAAUCCCCGGGCUCAACCUGGGAACUGCCUUUGUGACUGCAUAGCUAGAGUACGGUAGAGGGGGAUGGAAUUCCGCGUGUAGCAGUGAAAUGCGUAGAUAUGCGGAGGAACACCGAUGGCGAAGGCAAUCCCCUGGACCUGUACUGACGCUCAUGCACGAAAGCGUGGGGAGCAAACAGG
RNAcentral lists this ribosomal RNA (253 nucleotides) under uncultured bacterium. Its description in RNAcentral is "partial 16S ribosomal RNA". It matches the Rfam family "Bacterial small subunit ribosomal RNA", at positions 524 to 776 of the family's 1533-position model. The record is from RNAcentral.